UUAAAGUGGCGACAUGACGUUUGU
This 24-nucleotide non-coding RNA is filed under the name Rattus norvegicus (Norway rat). Lineage: Eukaryota; Metazoa; Chordata; Mammalia; Rodentia; Muridae. The record is from RNAcentral.